UGCAUUCACUACUGUAAGUCGCUCUGGAUAAGGGCAUCUGCUAAAUGACUAAAA
Molecule: non-coding RNA, 54 nt
Organism: Salmo salar (Atlantic salmon)
Lineage: Eukaryota; Metazoa; Chordata; Actinopteri; Salmoniformes; Salmonidae
Source: Rfam